Long non-coding RNA from Pseudophryne corroboree (corroboree frog), 4245 nucleotides. RefSeq lists it as uncharacterized. NCBI's taxonomy places the organism in Eukaryota, Metazoa, Chordata, Amphibia, Anura, Myobatrachidae. The record is from RefSeq and is a predicted model, not a curated record. The transcript is spliced from 2 exons.
UCUUUACAAAUUCGGUCUCUAGCUAACUAGGCACCGUGACUGUUCCUUUGGAGUAGCACACUGAAGGGUUACCUCUUCUGUCUUUGUACAUAUUACUUUUAAUAUGAUCAGUUUCCUUAUAAUAAUUACAGUGUAAAAGUGAAUAUUUCUAUUUCCCUAGUGAAGGGUUAAAACAUGCUUUAUGAACUCUUAUGUGUUUGCAAUGGAUGCUGCUGCCCUGUGUUAGAUGCCUUUGUCUCUCAUACAGAUACCAGGCUUGUGUGGGUCUGGCAUCCAAGGUCAGCUCUCUACUAGAUGAAACCUGCUUUUUCUACUUCUGUGUGUUACUAAAAGAUCCUUUGUUAAGUUUCGCCUGAUGCAACAUAUAUAACAUCUGCCUGGCAACUGCUAUAUCCAAUUAUGUUAUGUCAAGUAUUAACCACCCCUACGUACCCCACCCAGGCACCUACCCCUAAGCCAAUGAGCCCUUUUACACUUGUCAGUUCCACCCAUAUGCAUUGUCUUAUAUACUCUUGUUAACUUUAUAAUAAACAGUGUGAAUUUUAACUGCUUGUGUGUGCAUGUACCUAGUGGUUAAAAGUUUACACUCCAGACGUCUGUAAGGCCAUCACAUCGAGGGUUAAAGAAAAUAAGGUCAAAUCCUUUCAGCUGGGGGUUAUGUCCGGGAUUCAGUGAUCGUCCCCGAAUAAUAAAGAUAGAAGAUUUAUUGUCUGUCUUUGCUAUGCGGGAUUGCGGUCAUACACUGAAGCUGAAUCCGUGUCAGUGUUCCGGGAACACGUGACAAGGUAAUAUUUAAGUCCGGGACUUAAUAUUACGAAGUUUUUAAAACAGGUAUCAGGGAUACCAUAGAAUCUUUAAUGUCUGGGACUUAAAGAUACGUCUGAGAAGGGACCAGGGGUCCGAGCGCACUUCUCCAAAGACGUUAGUAUCUGGGAUACUUAAAAUAGACCUGGGAGUCUAUACGUAACGUAGAGAAUACCCCGAUUUGAUCGCCUAUAUAUUUCUGUAUGUUUGUAGUGAGAUAAGUUCUUAUAUUUGGUCCAGACGGCUGGUAAGUUUUCGUCUGCCAGAUAUCUUUACUCAAACACUUUUCUUGCUUCCUGUCUAAAACGCUGUAUUUUUUCUGACAUCUUGUACGAAGGUAAGCGUACCCGUCAAAAGAUUUCAUGUUCUCAUUAUACAGAUAAUAUUGUGAUAUUGUCAAUGACUAAUUAACUGGUGUUAGCUAAUGCAUGCAUAGAAAGUUUUUGUAAAUUGCAUUUUUUUUGUUGUGAAAUUUCAUAGAAAGUCUUUUUGUUGUGAAAUUGCAUAGAAGGUUUUUUUUUUGUAAACUGCAUUUUUGUUGUGAUAUUGCAUAGACAGUUGUUGUGGGUUGUUGUGGAAAUUGCGUAGAAAGCUGGUGUAGAUUGCAUUUUUACUAUGGGAGGGACCUAUGUAUAAGUAGAGUGUCGUAUAUUUUAGAUAAUUUUCUUUUAAAAAGUUGUACUGUUGAUUUAUAUUACUGUCUGACAAUGGGCUCUAGUCAGAGUAAAAAAAACUGCAUAUCCCCCGCCCCUCCCUGGUGAGACAUGCAGGAUGUAUGUUGCCCGUAACUCUACCUCAGAGUAUUAUUUAGUUAACCCAUGGGUGGAUAAUUUAGCGGGAUGGACAGAGAAAGCAGGACGGGACCCAUUCCUACGGGAAGGCAGUAAUUACCUUUUCUAUAUGGAGAUUUAAGAAAAAAUGUCAGUUUCCAAUAGCACAGAAGCGAAGCUGCAGAGGAAUUGAACCUACACACUCCUUUAAAGUCGGAGACAGAGUCGUGGUGAAGGUGCUCCCCAGGAACAAGAGCCCAGGAGACUUCACCUAUGGUCCAGAGACAGAGGUCGUAGCAGUUACCCGAACAGCAGUCCUGACAGAGGAAAGUCCUACCUGGAUCCAUGCAUCCCGAGUAAAAAAAAAGGUUCCUAGACCAGACCUAGAGAGGGAAGCAAGUGAUUCCAGUGAGGUACGAACCGGGGCAGACAGCCCUGACCUCCCACCUAGCGAAGAAAGAAGAACAGAAGAAGAUGAGGAACCUGUCCCCUAUCUUUAUCCUGGGGACUACCUUGAUAGCCCUACUGGCCCUCACUCACCACACAAUAUGUGAGGUUGAUAUUACACAGACUAAUGGGAUCCCCACCUUGUGGUACAAUUCCUCCAAUACACACGUAGCCACAUAUAUCCUUGACUAUUUUAUGUUCCCCAAAAUUGCUGAUGACAAAUAUUAUAUACAACAAAGGAGGAAAUCAGGAAUGUCUGAGACAGUAUAUAUUUGUGUUACUGACGAAUGGUACUAUGACAAUAGAUAUUAUGGAUCUAAUUGUAAUUCCUGGGAAGCUGUGGGGUGGAAUACAGGAGUAGAUUGGAAAUAUGGCCCAUCGUUUGCAAAGAAUAGAUGGAGCAAAUAUGGAGUACCCCUACUUUCUAGACUAUCCAUUCAUAAGAUGGAUGAAGGCCCAAAUUCAUACAGGUUUAGACUAAACAUAGUGAAUCCUAGCAGAAGCGACAAUGAGACUUAUGUACUUGGUAUAUGGUGGCAAGCAGGGUAUUAUAGUGCAAGGCAAAUGUUUUAUUUAUGGGAUAUGUAUAAAAACCCAAAAUACCAGCCUAAAAUUGCUCCCCAAAACAAACCUUUAAAGCCCCAUAUUGCCACUUUUAAAGAUAUGGUGGCUAUUACUAACCCUACCUUUGAAGACACCCUAGCUAUUGAAACUGGUUUCUCUGACAUUAAUUUUUGGUUGGAAUGGAUGAAGUAUAGUGCUAACAAACACAAUAAAAGCAACUGUUAUGUCUGUGGCAAAUCUAGGCCCCACCUAGGUACAGUGCCCCUUAAUAUACCCCUAGAACAAGAAAAUUGUUUUUUUCAGCCUUUUUAAUGACACCAAAACAAAUGACAGUCAGUGCGAAAUGUGGAAAAGGGAAUAUCCCAUAUUGUCAAAAAAUCCCAACCCAGGAAGCACCAUAACCAUAUAUCCUGGAAACUAUACCUGUUAUACAUCUAACAUCACCCCAGGGAGAAAUUUAAAAACCUUCCCACCAGGGUAUUGUGCAAAUAAAAGAACAACUGUUUUAGUCAACCAAACUAGAUCAUUAGGCGACAUUUAUUACAUAUGUGGGAAACUGUAAAUAAAAACGUAGCCUGGAUUAAUUAUAUAUAUUAUAAUCAACAAAGAUUUGUUAAUGAUACCAAAGAUGCUCUUAAAGGUAUAGCUGAACAGCUAGAAGCCACUUCCCAAAUGACAUCCCAAAAUAGAAUGGCCCUUGACAUGAUCCUAGCAGAAAAAGGCGGUACAUGUGUUUACAUUAGUAAGGUGGAAGGCUGUUGUACAUAUAUUCCUGACAACACUGGUCCCAAUGGUAAGGUUACUUUAGCCAUAAACAAGUUAGAAACCUUAUCCAUAGAACUUAAGAAAAAUUCAGGUAUUGAUAACCCAUGGAGCCAAUAUUUUGGGUGGUUUGAAAAUUGGAAACAGGCUCUUGUGCAAAUAAGCAUAUUUAAACUCAUAACUUUAAUUCUUUUAGGCAUUAUAGUUUAUUGUGUAAUUCCCUGUGGAAAGAAACUUACCUCCAAAGGCAUUGAUAAGGCCCUGAUGUAUUAUGACAUAACCACCAGUCCUGUCACCUCCUCUGAUAGUAAGGGACCCGACGAUUAUGUCCAAUAUCUCAAGAACUGGAGGAACAAGAAAGGAGCCUCACUCAAGAAUCAUGUCAUAUAAUAAUCAUGAUUCUAAGAGGGGAUUGAAGGGUUACCUCUUCUGUCUUUGUACAUAUUACUUUUAAUAUGAUCAGUUUCCUUAUAAUAAUUACAGUGUAAAAGUGAAUAUUUCUAUUUCCCUAGUGAAGGGUUAAAACAUGCUUUAUGAACUCUUAUGUGUUUGCAAUGGAUGCUGCUGCCCUGUGUUAGAUGCCUUUGUCUCUCAUACAGAUACCAGGCUUGUGUGGGUCUGGCAUCCAAGGUCAGCUCUCUACUAGAUGAAACCUGCUUUUUCUACUUCUGUGUGUUACUAAAAGAUCCUUUGUUAAGUUUCGCCUGAUGCAACAUAUAUAACAUCUGCCUGGCAACUGCUAUAUCCAAUUAUGUUAUGUCAAGUAUUAACCACCCCUACGUACCCCACCCAGGCACCUACCCCUAAGCCAAUGAGCCCUUUUACACUUGUCAGUUCCACCCAUAUGCAUUGUCUUAUAUACUCUUGUUAACUUUAUAAUAAACAGUGUGAAUUUUAA